GCAUGGACUCCACGUGUGAUUUCUUUCCUUUUCUUCCUUAUUUCUGUUUUGCUUUCUUCCUUUGCUCUGUUUUUGGUUGAGGAAAACGAAAAGAAACAGAGAGAGAGAGAGAGAGAGAGGAAACAUAGUAGAAGGGAAGAGGUGAGAACUCGAUCGAGAGUUUGGACUGGAUUACGGUAGAGGAGGAAGGAACAAAACCGAGAGGACGACAGGGGAGCGAGAGUUUCGGGGUGACAACAACGAAGAACCAAAGGGAUGACGGGCUAUGCCGAGAGUAUAGGGGUUGGGAAAUUUGAACUUAUUCCAAGGGUAGAGUUUAGAUUGCAAUUGGGUAAUUAACGAGCUUGCUAGGAGCCGAGGAGAAUGAGACUAUACACCCGGAAGGCUCUACUCGUUGAGUUAUCAUUUUAGGGGUUUUUGUGAGUAUUUUUAUUUCACUAUAGAAUGAAACUAAAUCUUAAAUUAAUUAUAUCAAUGUUUGUUUGAGUGAGAUAAGUUGAAUGAAGAUAGUAUGAGGAUUUAUUGUAAAUGAAUUCGAUUAAUAGUGGUGUGGUGAUAUUACUGUUUAUGGCCAUGGGACCACUGAUUCGAUGAGAUACAAAAAGAGAUGUCUAGAUUGCUAAUUUGGCAGGAUACAAAAAGGGACGUCUAGACUUCUACUACCGGAGGAUAACGGGCAACCCCCGCUUAUGAAAAAUCAAAUGAAGAUUUUUUAGAUGAGCUAGGAGCUAGACUAGCAGUACGGGAAAAUCGUUUUGGACAUCGGGGAUCAACGUGAAGAAUAUUGUAGCUAGACCCACUCGUAACAUAUGUAGUAAGUUCAUGUAGUGUGUUAUAAAUAUGUUAUAACCUGAAACUUUUAUUUAGUAGGUUUAUUGAGGAUGGUGAAAAGAGUACUAUCUUGAUAUGUAUAUAGAUAAUAGAGUUUAUUGGAUUUGUUACAUA
Molecule: non-coding RNA, 945 nt
Organism: Punica granatum (pomegranate)
Lineage: Eukaryota; Viridiplantae; Streptophyta; Magnoliopsida; Myrtales; Lythraceae
Source: RefSeq, a predicted model, not a curated record